This is a microRNA precursor of Chrysemys picta bellii (western painted turtle), 95 nucleotides long. Lineage: Eukaryota; Metazoa; Chordata; Testudines; Emydidae. The record is from Ensembl.
AAUCUCUCUUACACAGGCUGACCGAUCUCUCUUGGUGUUCAGAGUUUCAGUUUUUGUCUAGCACCAUUUGAAAUCGGUUAUGAUGUAGGGGGAAA